Molecule: non-coding RNA, 210 nt
Filed under: Neurospora tetrasperma FGSC 2509
Lineage: Eukaryota; Fungi; Ascomycota; Sordariomycetes; Sordariales; Sordariaceae
Description: Eukaryotic large subunit ribosomal RNA
Rfam family: Eukaryotic large subunit ribosomal RNA
Source: Rfam by way of RNAcentral
UGACCUCGGAUCAGGUAGGAAUACCCGCUGAACUUAAGCAUAUCAAUAAGCGGAGGAAAAGAAACCAACAGGGAUUGCCCUAGUAACGGCGAGUGAAGCGGCAACAGCUCAAAUUUGAAAUCUGGCUUCGGCCCGAGUUGUAAUUUGUAGAGGAAGCUUUUGGUGAGGCACCUUCUGAGUCCCCUGGAACGGGGCGCCAUAGAGGGUGAG